RNAcentral lists this ribosomal RNA (301 nucleotides) under uncultured bacterium. RNAcentral's name for it is "partial 16S ribosomal RNA". It matches the Rfam family "Bacterial small subunit ribosomal RNA", at positions 509 to 807 of the family's 1533-position model. The record is from RNAcentral.
CAGCCGCCGCGGUAAUACAGAGGGUGCAAGCGUUAAUCGGAUUUACUGGGCGUAAAGGGCGCGUAGGUGGUUAUUUAAGUGAGAUGUGAAAGCCCCGGGCUUAACCUGGGAACUGCAUCUUAUACUGGGUAACUGGAGUGCAGUAGAGGGUAGUGGAAUUUCCGGUGUAGCGGUGAAAUGCGUAGAUAUUGGAAGGAACACCAGUGGCGAAGGCGGCUACCUGGACUGAGACUGACACUGAGGCGCGAGAGCGUGGGGAGCAAACAGGAUUAGAGACCCCUGUAGUCCCUGUCUCUUAUAC